Gallus gallus (chicken) is the source of this 1054-nucleotide long non-coding RNA. The record is from Ensembl. NCBI's taxonomy places the organism in Eukaryota, Metazoa, Chordata, Aves, Galliformes, Phasianidae.
UUGAAUGCGAACUAUCAUCCUGCUGGUGUGCUCAGGAUACAUCUACUGAUUAACAUACUUCAGAAUUAUAUGAAGGGAAGACCCAAACUGAGGAUGCCAGACACUUGAGGGUCCUGACAAACUUGCAUCCAGUGUUCUUUCUGUUCCUGUACGAGCAUUUGUGGGACCCACCUGGCACAACCUUCCAACUGAGUGUAUUCUAUGAUUUUAUAUUUGAAAAGACCAUUCAAGAACCUCGUGGACCAUCUUCUUUUUUCAUUCAUGUUCUCACUGGAUUGAUCUAGAUACAGGAGCUGUUGUGGAGAGGGUGACACAAAAGUGAGAGUGCACUACCUGCAGGCAGUUAGCAGAGAGCUGUGAAAAAAAGGUGACUUGGAGGAGUGCAGGGUAUAGUGGGGAACAUCUGCUCUUAAAUGCAUGCAAUAAGAUCCAACCUGCUUAGCAUAAGCAAAAACAUGUCAAGUUAAAUAGGGUAGCAGCAGGAUUCAAGGUGGAGCAUGUGGAAGUCAUGAAAAUAAACGAGUGGAGCACUAAUAUUUGUGACACCAGUUGGCUGCUUAACUGGGCUGGUGCAAUCCUGGUGACGUGCCCAUUCAUUAAAAACAUGGAUAAAAUGUGGAAUUCCAGCCACUUAACAUAUUACUUAGAAGAAUAAUUCAAAAUUGUGAUGAGCCUUUAUAAGAAGCUUGGAAUGUACAUUUGUAGGAUUUAGAAGUAAUGCUUUCUCUUGGCUUGUGACCCAAGCACUGUUGUGGGUGAAGCUGGACAGUUAAAAUACUUGGAAAUAAAAGGAAAGCAAAGUCACAAUUAGACAGAGAGCUGGAGUGGAAUUUGAAAGGGAACGAGGAAGAAAUCCUUCCCGGUGCUUUCACAAUAUUUGUUUUCAGGAACAGGAUCAUAUGUUUUCCUGGUAUCUACAGCUCUCCUAGGACUGUAGUGAUUUUUAUUUGUUGUUGAUGUUGUUCAGCCUCUUCUGCUCCCUUUGUUCAAGUUCAGCAAAUCCUAUGUAUACGUUUUGAUUUCAAAACAAAAUAAAACACUAAAAAAACCACCU